This is a long non-coding RNA of Macrobrachium nipponense, 1360 nucleotides long. RefSeq lists it as uncharacterized. The transcript has 2 exons. Lineage: Eukaryota; Metazoa; Arthropoda; Malacostraca; Decapoda; Palaemonidae. The record is from RefSeq and is a predicted model, not a curated record.
CAUGAUGAAAUGUAAUCAAUCCAUCUGCGCCAAUGGCACGGGUUACUGUUCUUCAACCGGAAAUUGCAAAAAAGGAUAUUACCCCAGCACGACUCAGUCCUGCACAGGCUUCGCUUGCACUUGCUGCGUUCCGUGUGGCACCAGCAGUAAUUGCACGAUGAGUGCUGGGUUCUGUCAGUACGUAAGUAAGGCGUGCCCUCCUGGAUACCAGUCGUCCACGAGCCUCUGCUGUCCUAACUCCAGUUGCAGAUGCUGCUACAAAGGAGUCGCUCCCGUUGGCCCAGUUACAUGCCCAGUUCCCCCGCCAAGUGGUAGAGACGGCUACUAGCAGCAACAUCAGCGACGAACAACUAAGAACAGCAGUAGCAACUAACAACCAACAUCACCGACUAACACCAAAUGUAGUAACUAAAAAUAACAACUAACAUCAACAGUAGCAAUGAGCAGCAACAACUAAAAAACCAUAGCCAUAACAGCAGCAAUAACAACAGUAGCAACUAGCAACUGAGUUAACAUUGGACCGAAGUUGCUGGCUUGGCAAGACUGUUUAUGUAUAGUUAUGUUUGACAUACGGGCGCAUUGGACCUUCAAUAACGAAGAUCUGAAAUAUGUAGUUAUUAUUGUUAUCAGAUUCACUGGACCAGUUUCUUGAGAUGCACCAGCAUUCCCUGCUAGACAUAUUGACUGUAUCUUUGUAUAUUUUAAUAAAAGUUCCUUGAUAAUUGACAUUGCUAACAGCAAUAGUAUCUAAGCUGUUCUCACUUUAUAUAACAAAGUUGAAUAGUCAACAAUAAUUAGAAUGGGGAUAUCUCUCACAGGAAUACAAUGUUCCGAAUAAUUCUUUUCAUUAUGAAUAAGCAAGUAUCCCCUGAAGCUAGAGUUUAUGCCCUCCAUUUUCUUCAAUCUCUCACCUAUUAAAGAAAUGGAGUGUAACAGUUCGUCUGUUGCACAGUGCUUGUUUGUAAGUUUAGUUAAUGUCGAAAGAGCGUUGCUGCAUAAAUAUCCUUCGACAGAAAAAAUAGACAAUUUGAUGAUAUAUCUAGAAAAGGAUUAAUAAUUGAAUGGAGAAACUUUAAUCAUACAGUCCGAGUGUACAUCUCGGACUGUAUAAUUGGUUCAUUUAUAAUUAUUAAACCAUCUUAUCCAUAAUUGUUUGUGUAUUUUAGACAAUUAAUUUGUUUGUAAUGAAAAAACCACCUAAAUAUUGCAGAAGAUUAUGUAUAAACCAAAUGCCCUUUGACAACAAUUCACUGGUCUAUAUUGUGUGGUCAAGGUAUAAGAUAAUUUAGAUACUUGUAAUUUGUAAUAGCUUGCUUAUUAUUUGCAUUUAUGAGUUAAUAAAAUAUAAUUGGCUUUAUAA